This 891-nucleotide ribosomal RNA is filed under the name uncultured Eubacteriales bacterium. Its description in RNAcentral is "bacterial SSU rRNA". It matches the Rfam family "Bacterial small subunit ribosomal RNA", at positions 8 to 977 of the family's 1533-position model. Lineage: Bacteria; Bacillati; Bacillota; Clostridia; Eubacteriales. The record is from RNAcentral.
AGAGUUUGAUCCUGGCUCAGGAUGAACGCUGGCGGCGUGCCUAACACAUGCAAGUCGAGCGAGAAAUCGGUGAUUGAAACUUCGGUAGAUUGAUCCGGUGGAAAGCGGCGGACGGGUGAGUAACGCGUAGGCAACCUGCCCCUUACACAGGGAUAGCCACUGGAAACGGUGAUUAAAACCUGAUGACACCUUAGGAUGACAUCUUCCCAAGGUCAAAGAUUUAUCGGUAAGGGAUGGGCCUGCGUCUGAUUAGAUAGUUGGUGAGGUAACGGCCCACCAAGUCAACGAUCAGUAGCCGACCUGAGAGGGUGAUCGGCCACAUUGGAACUGAGACACGGUCCAAACUCCUACGGGAGGCAGCAGUGGGGAAUAUUGCACAAUGGGAUGACGGUACCCAUGGAGGAAGCCCCGGCUAACUACGUGCCAGCAGCCGCGGUAAUACGUAGGGGGCGAGCGUUAUCCGGAAUUAUUGGGCGUAAAGAGUGCGUAGGUGGUUACCUAAGCAGGGGGUGAAAGGCACUGGCCUAACCAAUGUCAGCCCCCUGAACUGGGCUACUUGAGUGCAGGAGAGGGAAGUGGAAUUCCUAGUGUAGCGGUGAAAUGCGUAGAUAUUAGGAGGAACACCGGCGGCGAAGGCGACUUUCUGGACUGUUACUGACACUGAGGCACGAAAGUGUGGGGAGCAAACAGGAUUAGAUACCCUGGUAGUCCACACCGUAAACGAUGAGCACUAGGUGUCGGGUAAGCAAUUACUCGGUGCCGCAGUUAACGCAUUAAGUGCUCCGCCUGGGGAGUACGUACGCAAGUAUGAAACUCAAAGGAAUUGACGGGGACCCGCACAAGCAGCGGAGCAUGUGGUUUAAUUCGAAGCAACGCGAAGAACCUUACCAG